This is a long non-coding RNA of Saccostrea cuccullata (small rock oyster), 138 nucleotides long. RefSeq lists it as uncharacterized. The transcript is spliced from 3 exons. The record is from RefSeq and is a predicted model, not a curated record. Lineage: Eukaryota; Metazoa; Mollusca; Bivalvia; Ostreida; Ostreidae.
GACGUCCUAGCAGAAUUUCUAGAGCUCGUUAAUCAUAUCACACAAACAGGCUUGUUAAGUCUACCAGAAAGGACUGCAGAUUCAGAUAAAGGCCCUACAGAAGUGUUGGUUGUUGAAGAUCAGACAUUUGCAGUUGUA